GAGGGCUGUGCCCUGCCUUUUUAACCUCAGUGCUGGCGAGAGGGAAGUGGUGUGGGGAGGAUUACUCUGCUAGAUACACCUGCACUUAAGCUCCUCCUGGAAGUCAGGGAUACAGCCAGCUGGAUUAUUUUGUAUCUCCACAUGAUCCCUAAUACUGCUGUAUAUCCCAAAUGUUUGGGGAAGUGAACAGUCCCCAGGUGCCAGGAGGAGAGUACAGGAGACAUGUCUGCUGAGGCUAGGACUGGUCUAUAUUUCCCAAACAAAGGAAAAACAGCAUUUUAAAAAUUAGAAAAAGUUAGAGCAGGAGAGAAGACACGAACAAAAAAUAGCCAGGAAGUCAACAGAGGUGUGGAUUCCUACAUCGUCAUAUGGAAAAGUUCAGGUUUGGUUGCAGGAUGUUGUAUUUGUGUCAGGUCAACUUGGAGUAAGACAUGGUGCCUUAACUGGAGGUUCUGGAGGUGUGUGAUCAAG
This 471-nucleotide long non-coding RNA is filed under the name Cyanistes caeruleus (blue tit). RNAcentral describes it as "lncRNA (ENSCCEG00000008860.1)". Lineage: Eukaryota; Metazoa; Chordata; Aves; Passeriformes; Paridae. The record is from RNAcentral.